RNAcentral lists this long non-coding RNA (266 nucleotides) under Hordeum vulgare. RNAcentral's name for it is "long non-coding RNA (HVUL_LNC015814)". The record is from RNAcentral. Lineage: Eukaryota; Viridiplantae; Streptophyta; Magnoliopsida; Poales; Poaceae.
ACCACAAUGAAAAUAUGUUUAUAAACAUGCACAUACAUUGAACGCAAGUUGACAAACAAAUUAACCUAGAGGAAGCAUAGUUUUGACCAUCUUAACAAUCAUCUAGAACACACAAGUCACAAAAAGAUAAGGACUAUUGGUUACUAUGAGAGACUUCAGAUGGUCUAGAAAACAUAAGUUUGUAUCUACAUGCACAAAGUGCAAGCUCGAAAACACUCGAAACACCAAAUGGUCUACAAGACAAUAAGGUCCAUGAUUACAGGUUG